This is a long non-coding RNA of Hyaena hyaena (striped hyena), 509 nucleotides long. RefSeq lists it as uncharacterized. The record is from RefSeq and is a predicted model, not a curated record. The transcript has 5 exons. NCBI's taxonomy places the organism in Eukaryota, Metazoa, Chordata, Mammalia, Carnivora, Hyaenidae.
GCGGCGGCCGAGGCGGCGGCGGCGGCGCUGGCUCUUGUCACCCGGCAGCGGGAGCGCCAGGACCAAGCGUCUUUAGGGUGGGAACGCAGGAGAAUUUUAUGCCACGUGGGAAUGGCCAUACAGGACUGCGAUCUGACGUCCUUGGGAGUACCUCGCCAAAGUGAUGAUUCCUAGACCUAAAUUACAAGAGAGUAAAGGAAUGGACAACGCAUCCAGCAGCGUGGCAAAUUCAGAUGGCCCGGCAAGAGUGGAGAGGACUGUGAGAAAAGGGCAAUUUGCUUUGAAAUUCCCAUCUCCCUUUCCAGAAAUGGAGAGAAGACUAUGCACUCCUCUGUACAAGUUGGCUUCUCCUCAUGAUCACGAGAUCAAUGCUUCUAUUACAACAGUCACAUGAAAAAAAUCCAAUGUAAGAAGAGGCACCAUUCUUCAGGUUUUGAUACCAAGGAAACUCUGUAGUAAACAUUCUGUUGGCAAAAUUUCCCUUCAGAGCCUGCCUCCUAGGAAACCCA